Molecule: ribosomal RNA, 473 nt
Filed under: uncultured bacterium
Lineage: Bacteria
Description: bacterial SSU rRNA
Rfam family: Bacterial small subunit ribosomal RNA
Source: RNAcentral
AAGGACUUUUGUCAGGGAGCAAAACUUACUGGUUAAUACCCGGUGAGGCUGAGAGUACCUGAAGAAUAAGCACCGGCUAACUACGUGCCAGCAGCCGCGGUAAUACGUAGGGUGCAAGCGUUAAUCGGAAUUACUGGGCGUAAAGCGUGCGCAGGCGGACUUUUAAGCCAGAUGUGAAAGCCCCGAGCUUAACUUGGGAAUUGCGUUUGGAACUGGGAGUCUAGAGUCUGUCAGAGGGGGAUGGAAUUCCACGUGUAGCAGUGAAAUGCGUAGAGAUGUGGAGGAACACCGAUGGCGAAGGCAGUCCCCUGGGAUAAGACUGACGGCUCAUGCACGAAAGCGUGGGGAGCAAACAGGAUUAGAUACCCUGGUAGUCCACGCCCUAAACGAUGUCUACUAGUUGUUGGGGUAGGCAAUACCUCAGUGACGCAGCUAACGCGUGAAGUAGACCGCCUGGGGAGUACGGUCGCAAG